RNAcentral lists this ribosomal RNA (468 nucleotides) under uncultured bacterium. Its description in RNAcentral is "partial 16S ribosomal RNA". It matches the Rfam family "Bacterial small subunit ribosomal RNA", at positions 28 to 507 of the family's 1533-position model. The record is from RNAcentral.
GACGAACGCUGGCGGCGUGCUUAACACAUGCAAGUCGAACGGAAAGGCCCUGCUUUUGUGGGGUGCUCGAGUGGCGAACGGGUGAGUAACACGUGAGUAACCUGCCCUUGACUUUGGGAUAACUUCAGGAAACUGGGGCUAAUACCGGAUAGGAUCUCCUGCUGCAUGGUGGGGGUUGGAAAGUUUCGGCGGUUGGGGAUGGACUCGCGGCUUAUCAGCUUGUUGGUGGGGUAGUGGCUUACCAAGGCUUUGACGGGUAGCCGGCCUGAGAGGGUGACCGGCCACAUUGGGACUGAGAUACGGCCCAGACUCCUACGGGAGGCAGCAGUGGGGAAUAUUGCACAAUGGGCGGAGGCCUGAUGCAGCAACGCCGCGUGCGGGAUGACGGCCUUCGGGUUGUAAACCGCUUUCGCCUGUGACGAAGCGUGAGUGACGGUAAUGGGUAAAGAAGCACCGGCUAACUACGUG